This 75-nucleotide antisense RNA is filed under the name Streptomyces sp. DSM 15324. RNAcentral's name for it is "ASpks TB sRNA". It matches the Rfam family "ASpks TB sRNA". The record is from Rfam by way of RNAcentral. Lineage: Bacteria; Bacillati; Actinomycetota; Actinomycetes; Kitasatosporales; Streptomycetaceae.
CUUCAGCGAGCCCAGCAGCAGCGGCCGCCCCUGGGGACGUACCUGCCCGUAGGUGGCGAGCAGUGCCUCGGCCUC